Long non-coding RNA from Ceratina calcarata, 520 nucleotides. RefSeq lists it as uncharacterized. Lineage: Eukaryota; Metazoa; Arthropoda; Insecta; Hymenoptera; Apidae. The transcript has 2 exons. The record is from RefSeq and is a predicted model, not a curated record.
UCCCGGUAUUCUGCGUGGCCACCAUGUUCUCCAGCUGAUCUUGGAAACGUUCGAUUUCCCGGAUAGCCAGCCUUGUCCAGUUCUCACGGACACUGCGGAACGGAUAUUACUUUAAAGAGAAGGAAGAAAAGUAGAUGGGACGUGCGAUCGAUGAAACUUCGUUGAAACAAGCGACGUCCAGCUACAGCAACGGCAACGCCAGAACGCACCAAUAAUUCGAUUGACUUCUCGGGUCUCGCGCCGAGGUCAUCUUAGCUUCGAAAGGUGGUAUCGAACCGGAAAUGCGACGAUAAAUCGACGAUUUCACUUCCUUUUGCUUCAGUUCGUCUCGCAAGCGUUGCUGUCUCUCGCAUAUUUCAGAACGCGAAAUAAAGUUUUGUAUAAUAUAUGAAUUUCAAACAUGAAUAGAAUUUUCUCAACAUGAUUAUGAACAUACGGUGUAUUAAUUGGAAACUAAUGUAAACGAUGAGAUAAUCGAUAGGAUUAAAAAAUAAAUGAAAUAUACAUAUACUAUAUUCAA